GUGCACACUGUACAUCACACCGUACGGUGCACAGCAGACGAUCCGUGUUCGAUAGCAAAAGUUAAUACAACUCCUUUCUUGAUAGAGCAAUGCUAUAGUCAUCUAACAAUUAUUCAGAAAAGUUACUCAGGCAUCUUGUACCAAUCAGUUCGCUUCAUUAGAUAUCAUAAUUCACGGUAUCAACCCAGAGGAAGCAACAACAAUACACCACACCAGCUGAGCGACUGGUUGAGUGAUAUUUUUGAUCGGUCACCCA
Molecule: long non-coding RNA, 256 nt
Filed under: Elaeis guineensis (African oil palm)
Lineage: Eukaryota; Viridiplantae; Streptophyta; Magnoliopsida; Arecales; Arecaceae
Description: long non-coding RNA (EGUI_LNC073781)
Source: RNAcentral